GCCCAAUCUGAACCUAAGGACAAUAUGGCCAGUGGAUUGUCAAAUCCACCAGAGAAAGGGCUCACCAAACACAGCAGAGAUAGGUCUUUUCAGCCUAAGAAAGAGAAAAAAAAUUAAAAUCCUUUCUCAAGGAGUAGCACAACCGAAAUCAAAGCAAACCUUCACUAAGUCCCUGAGUGUAGGCGGAAUUAGUGAGGUGGCUGAAUUCACAAUGUUGGGUGAUCAGAGGCCAAAGGAAGGUUGUGGCAGUGCCCAACGUGGUGAUAGAGCAAAUAAGGACAAGGCCAAUGGAGGUUUGGGGGUGGUUCAACGAGGAGCAAAAGGAAGCAUGGAGGAGCUUAUUCCCUCUCAAUCUGACGAGUUCGAUGCUGAGGGAUAUGCCUCUCAUGGAUCCGGCGUGGCACUUGUGGCCAAACCCCUGGUGGAAUUUCAAGUCGAACUUACCACCAGCGCAACAGGAAGAGGAUGGUGUUAUGGAGGACCUAUCUGGACGUUUCUUUGGUGCCGGUCUUGUUCACAUUGGAUAGUCCAGUCAAUUUAGAGGAGAGGAAAAUUAGGAGAGUCAACCAAUGGCAACCAGCUGGUAUGGGAAUGCUUACAUAAUGAGACUGAUCCAAGUGUUGAAAAUCAAGGAAUUCCAGGUUCUAAUCAGCUCACAACUGAGGGAGAUGAGUAUAUUGGAGCACGGAGCCUUGUUUACAACCUCGGAAGGCCAAACUUAGACCAGCUUGAAGGAGAUGGGAUGGAGCUUGAUCUCGCAAGGAAGAACAUUGCCUUAUCAAGAUAAAUUCCCUACCCCCAAUCAAUCUGUUACAUGAAGAUUACAAUGAAAUAAUGGGCAUGAGAUCCACGUCUAAUUUUGGGAAGUAUCUUGGUUUUCAACUGAAGCAGCUUGGUUCAAGCAGCCAAGACUAUAACUUUGUCAUUGAAAGGGUGCAAGCUAAACUUGCUAGUUGGAAAGGGAAUCUUCUCUCUUUUGUUGGGAGAAUUGUUCUUACCCAAUCUAUUCUGACCACUGUUCCUUUGUAUGCAAUGUAGAAUGUUAUGCUCCCUAAUUGUGUUCUUGAAUCAUUGGAUAAGGUAACUAGGAAUUUUAUCUAAGGGUCUACUCCGGACAAAAGGAAAUUGCACAUGGUUAGUUGGAGCACGAUCACCAAAGCCAAGAAGGAAGGUGGGCUUGGUCUGCAACCUGCAAAGCCUAAAAAUUUGGCCUUGAUGGCCAAGUUGAAUUGAAGAUACAAGAUGGAGAAAGACAAGGAUUGGGCUAAGGUUUUAUGCAGCAAGUAUAGGAAUCCCAAUGGGAGUGGUUCUUAUGUUUGGAGGGGUGUGAAGCAGGGUAGUGGCAUUCUUGAGAAAGGAAUUAAAUGGGUAGCUGGUUUUGAUUCUAAGUUGAGUUUUUGGUAUGAUAAAUGGAUGGAUAUGGUUAAAAUUAGAAGCUUGAUUGAAAGCCCUUUAAGGAGGGAAGCGGAUAAGUGGAUGGUGAGGGAUGUCCAUGUAGGGGAGAGGUGGGAUUUCUCCAGGUUUUCUUUUGUGUUUCUUGAUAAGAUUUUGAGGAUGCUUAGAGCUGUGCCUUUCCCUUCUAGUUAUUGGUGUGAAGACAAAGUAGUGUGGGGUUACUCACCAUCGGGGGAGUUUGACCAAAAGACUACCCAUGCCAUUGCUAGAGGGGAUAGUGGUCUAGCUGCCAGGUUUGAGGGAGAUUGGGUUUGGAAAGUGGACUCCAUGCCGAGAAUUAAAUGUUUCUUGUGGAAAGUCUGUCACUGAAGCAUUCCAGUGAAGGAAGUGCUCUAUGGAAAGGGCAUCACCCAAGAUGCUCAAUGCUGUGUCUGCAACAAUGAAAGGGAUUCAAUCAUUCAUGCUAUACGAGAUUGUAGUUUUGCUAAAUCUGUUUAGGACAACUUCAACAUAGCUUCGGAUUUUCCAGAUUUUUAUAGCCUAGACCUAAUUCCAUGGCUAAAGAUUAACUUAAACCUUCAAUCCCAAAGAUCAGAUUUGAUGCCAUGGAAGGUGAUGUUCUCCUUUGUGGUUUGGAAUUUAUGGGUGCAUAGGAAUAAUGUUGCUUUUAAGGGAGUAAGGUUAAACUAGAACCUUUGGUCUCACUUCAAGCAUGUUGCCACUCAGUUUCUGCUCUAUGUUGGUAAAACAGGUAGGGCGGUGACCAGGGAAGCUAAGAGAGUCCGUUGGUUGAGACCGAGCCCUGGUUGGGUGAGGUUGAACACAGAUGGUUUGUCCUUGGGCAAUCCAGGUAAAGUUGGUGGAGGAGGUUUAAUCCGAGAUGAGAAUGGAAGUUGGAUUAAAGGUUUUAUCUGUAAUAUUGGGUUUUCCUCUAGCAUGGAAGCUGAGUUGUGGGCCCUUAGAGAUGGUCUUUCCUUGUGCUUAUCUCUUAACAUACCUGCCGUGGAGGUUGAGAUAGAUGCUAAGGUUGUAUGUGAUUGGAUUACCAACAGUAAUAGUUCUAAUCUUAACCUUUCCUCAUUAAUUGUGGACUGCAGGACUCUUCUCAGUCGCAUACCUCAGGUCAAGCUCAAUCACUACUUCCAUGAAGCCAACUAGUGUACGUGCUGAUGCACUAGCCAGGAAAGGAAAUCUCUACCAGCAAGAUUUCAUGAUUUUUGAUAGUCCGCCUGUGGAUAUUUUGAUGCUUUUUGUUAGGUUCUAAAGUCUUAGGAUUUUAUGUAUUUAGAACUCUAAUUUGUAUUGUUAACAAACAAUGAUCAAAAUAAUGUGUUUAGAAGUGUUUUAGUCUUGCUCAAA
Long non-coding RNA from Quercus robur (English oak), 2754 nucleotides. RefSeq lists it as uncharacterized. Lineage: Eukaryota; Viridiplantae; Streptophyta; Magnoliopsida; Fagales; Fagaceae. The record is from RefSeq and is a predicted model, not a curated record. The transcript has 2 exons.